Manacus vitellinus (golden-collared manakin) is the source of this 609-nucleotide long non-coding RNA. RefSeq lists it as uncharacterized. NCBI's taxonomy places the organism in Eukaryota, Metazoa, Chordata, Aves, Passeriformes, Pipridae. The transcript has 4 exons. The record is from RefSeq and is a predicted model, not a curated record.
UACACGCUUUGUGCCUCCUGCUGUGUUGGGAUCCAGAAGGAGAAACCUUUCCUCAGGACUGGGGCUCAAGACAACCCACUCCUGGCUGAAGCCAGAGCUCCACAGUCCAUGUGAAAUCCCACCUGCAAUUCUGCAAAUGCUUGUAAAGAAAAGAUUCGCUCGUAGUGGAGAAGAGUAAAAUUGAUGAGGCCACGUUGUCCUGGCUCCAGAGCUGCUGAAGUGAAAGGAAAAACUGGGAGAGAAACUCAACCCUCCAGCCAGACAUGAAUAACAGGAGCACAACACUGAGCACUUGAACAUAUCAGGUGACACAAAAAGAAGAUGUGGAAGAGCAAUUCAUUCCAGAUCUCUGACUCCACGCUGCAUCCAAAUGUGGUAAAGGUCUGGAAAGCUCUGACGUAGGAGAGCCCUGCUUGUCCCGGCCUGAUCCUGAAUGACACUGACACCCACUGACUUCUCCCUGUAACAGAUGCUUAGGAAAAGUAUGAGAAUUGGAAUAAAUGGUAGGAAAAAAAAGGAGGCUGAUUUCCAAAAUACACUCUUUAAAUGCAGGGCACUGGAAUGUGUGGCAGGGCUGGAAUACAGCAUUGACCAGAUUCCUCACGUUUC